RNAcentral lists this ribosomal RNA (407 nucleotides) under uncultured bacterium. Its description in RNAcentral is "partial 16S ribosomal RNA". It matches the Rfam family "Bacterial small subunit ribosomal RNA", at positions 30 to 526 of the family's 1533-position model. The record is from RNAcentral.
AUUGAACGCUGGCGGCAGGCCUAACACAUGCAAGUCGAGCGGAGCGGCGGACGGGUGAGUAAUGCCUAGGAAUCUGCCUGGUAGUGGGGGAUAACGUCCGGAAACGGGCGCUAAUACCGCAUACUAUCAGAUGAGCCUAGGUGGGAUUAGCUAGUUGGGGGGGUAAAGGCCUACCAAGGCGACGAUGCGUAGCUGGUCUGAGAGGGUGAUCAGUCACACUGUAACUGAGACAGGGGCGAGACUCCUACGGGAGGAAGCAGUGGGGAAUAUUGGACGAUGGGCGAAAGCCUGAUACAGCCAUGGCGAGUGUGUGAAGAAGGUCUUCGGAUUGUAAAGCACUUUAAGUUGGGAGGCGUUACCAACAGAAUAAGCACCGGCUAACUUCGUGCCAGCAGCCGCGGUAAUAC